Long non-coding RNA from Rhinichthys klamathensis goyatoka, 296 nucleotides. RefSeq lists it as uncharacterized. The transcript has 2 exons. Lineage: Eukaryota; Metazoa; Chordata; Actinopteri; Cypriniformes; Leuciscidae. The record is from RefSeq and is a predicted model, not a curated record.
GCUAUACAUUCCAAUUUUUGGCCCUGAAACUGUAGGGUGUCGGAAGAUCUGGGCGAGUGAAUAUAGGUUUUAGUCUUAAUCUGUUUUUAAUGAUGUUUUACAGUUUUAAUCAGAUCUAGCUACACAUUUCAAAGUUUACGACAAAGGGGAAUUAAACCAGUGCUUUUAUCAAAUAUAUAUUUUUGUUCUGUUAAGUCUCUGUACAUACAUUUUCUGACUCUUUAUUUUGCUAACAUUUCCAAGUGUUAAUAAGAUGUUGUACGAUUAGGCCAAAUAAAAGUUUGACCCCCCUUGUG